This 1039-nucleotide long non-coding RNA is filed under the name Pan troglodytes (chimpanzee). RNAcentral describes it as "long non-coding RNA NONPTRT001349". The record is from RNAcentral. Lineage: Eukaryota; Metazoa; Chordata; Mammalia; Primates; Hominidae.
CUGAGAUGAGGGGUUCAGGCCAGGUUUCAGAGUCCCACCAGGCCUCCCUCUUGCAACAGAAGGAAAGUCCACACUGAGGAGGAUCAUGGCCUGCUACGGUCGAAGUGCAAGGCACACGUCAGAAGCAGUGGCUCCUUCUGCAGCAGGACUCACCUACUGACUCAGAAGGACGUCCUCCAGGGACAGCCAGCUCCUCCUCUGAGCGCACAGCCCAUGUCCUCUGCUGUGCACUCCUCACGUGAAUGGACCCCACCUCGGACCGGAAGCCACCUUGGGUUGGAGGAUGCCAUGAAGUCUCUCUGGUUCAACGUGCAUGCACCGUCUCACUUAACCUGGGUUACUCUGUAUGAGUUGCACAGAAAAGGCCAACAUGGACAUCUGAGGACAGACAGCACAGGAGUACAGGAACUAAUGCAAAUUGCAUGUGAAUGACAUCCCCACGCAGGCCACUACUGACCACACUUACCCUCCCAUUUCACACACCUGCUUGGGACUAUCCUUCCUGGAGGCCACUGGAACUUCUGGAGUCACCUGCAGCACUUCUGAUGCAUUUCCUAGGUGGUGAUUUCCCAGCCCUGACACUGGUGACAGCUGUGGGUCUUACUCCACCAUAGCCAGAGGAGAAUGUGUCUGCCACUGCAUCAGCGGAAGGAGAGGGAGUUGGGGGUGGUCACCAGCUUCCCAGGCCUCACUUUCCCCACUUAUAAAUGAGGGGCUGGAACUUUUCAGUUUCCUUGGACCUUUUAAUUCAGCCCUCUCAGAUCUGAUGGCCUCGUGGUAGGAAUGCCCUUCCUCUAAGGGAAUUACAGUGAAAAUGACUGACUCCAUCUCAACAUCCACCAGCCCCGUGAAAAUGUGCCCCACCUCCUUCUGCUAAUUUUGGCUUGGGGGCCUCCUGGACCUGCAGCAGAGCUUCCCUUGCUUGGCUGAGCAGUUGUUAAAUGAGCUGCCUUCUAGCCAAGCAUAGCACAUGAGCCCACUGGCCUAUCUAUUAGGAAAGAAGGUCUAAGAGAAAUCAGGGUCUCAAUGCAAAGCCGCA